RNAcentral lists this long non-coding RNA (3469 nucleotides) under Equus caballus (horse). Its description in RNAcentral is "lncRNA (ENSECAG00000033140.3)". The record is from RNAcentral. Lineage: Eukaryota; Metazoa; Chordata; Mammalia; Perissodactyla; Equidae.
CGGCCACGGGGCUGCCCCCGUCCGUGGACUUUUUUAUCACCUGAUUUCACCUCGCAAAACUUCAAAGCUUCAAGUUAUCAGAGAGGUUUGGGAAGUUGUUUUUAUUUAUUUAAUUAAUUUAUUUUUCGAGGAAGACGAGCCCCGAGCUGACACCUGCUGCCAAUUCUCCUCUUUUUGCCCCGGGAGAGUGGUCCCGAGCUAACAUCCGUGCCCAUCCUCCUCCCGUUGAUAGGCGGGACGCCAACCACAGCGUGGCUCACCAAGCGGCGCCACGUCCGCACCCCGGAUCCGAACCGGCGAACCCCUGGCCGACAAAACGGAACGUGCGAACUUAACUGCUGUGCCGCCGGGCUGGCCCUUCGGGAAGUUCUUUUCAGGACACGGGCCAUAAACUAGAAUCACCGCUACAGGUUUAUCGGAGCGACAUCAGCGUUCGUGGUGGAUUGAGUCGUCCCCUCUGUCUCUCCCCUCCAGGGGACAACCAAAGGGACGUCUAUCGACCCACCCACCAAGGAUUCCCCCCCCCCGCAUGGCACAGCAGGAUGCCUGAGAGAUCCACGCAGCCCUACAGCGGCAAGUCACAUUCGCACAGUCAAAAUUCAAUGGCAGAGGGGGCUGGCCCCGUGGCCGAGUGGUUAAGUUCGCACGCUCCGCUGCAGGCGGCCCAGUGUUUCGUGGGUUCGAAUCCUGGGCGCGGACAUGGCACUGUUCAUCAGACCACGCUGAGGCAGCGUCCCACAUGCCACAACUAGAAGAACCCACAACGAAGAAUACACAACUAUGUACCGGGGGCUUUGGGGAGAAAAAGGAAAAAAUAAAAUCUUUAAAAAAAAAAUUCAAUGGCAGAGACAAAACGUUAAGGUCAGCGAGAGGGAAGAGAAUAACCGGCCCAGGAGCAACGGUGUGAAGAACAUGGAGAAGACGGGUCCUAGACGCCGGGGUCCCCGGAGCAGCGAUUUCAUCAGAGGCCCGCGAACGUCCACGAUCUCCACACCACGUUUAUGGCCGACUGCGUGUGUGGGUCCUUUGGAAUCGACCAGGCUACCGUCUGGGCCACUUUGGGACAUCGUGUCUAGCUGCCCCGAGCGGUGGAGCUGUCGUUCGAGUGUAAGAUGGGGCCCGUCCGGGGAGAGCAUGGGGACGGGGAAAGGGAGGCCGCGGGAAGUCACAGAGUCUGAGGUGUUCGGGGGAGACCGACUCUUCUAAAGUGGAGGAUGCCGGGCAGCCGGUGGCGCCCGACAAGCGGCCUCCUCACCGGCCGGACGGAUCAGCCUCGCGGGGGCGGGCGAUGGGGAGGCGUUCGUCCAGGUCAGGUCAGGUCGGGGGAGGGAGGAUGCAGCGCCGGCCGGCCUGGUGCGUCGCCUGGUCCCGAUCCACCCCGCGUCUCGUUUCUCGGGCCGGGACGAGUACAGGCGGGGAGGCCGACUCGGUCACGGAAAGCGGCCUUGGGGAGGUUUUGGCGAACGUCCCUGUCCCAGGGCCGUCUGCCGACUAGGGGACGGAGUCCUCCUCCAUGCGCCUUCUCGCCCCCAGUCGGGCGGGUUGUGGGUCGCGCGGUCGACUUGGCCAUUUCACCGGAGGCGUCCUGCCUGCCGGGGCUCCCUCCCUCGGGCCGGUGCGAGCGGUCCUCGGGCGGCCCGGGAAUUUGGGCCGCAGCGAACGAACGAACGAAGCCCGUCCCUCCUGCGUCGGCACGGAUGAGACACAGCCCUGGUGGAUGGAGCCGCUUUCCUCGGGUUUCCUUUUGCUUUCGGCCGCUGCUGCCACCAAACCUCCCUAAACGAUAGGAAUGAAAACGGGAACCGUUGGCAUAAUAAAAGCGUUUUGGUUGGCGUGUUUCUUGGCUUUUGGGGACUCGAGAGGUAUGAUGGAUGAUCUCCGAUUGUCCUUUGGAAGGAAGGUCUAUUUCAUCCCAGUCGCACGAACCCCGCAAACGUGCGGCUGGACGAGGGAGGGAGGGAGGGAGGGAGGGAGGGAGGCCAACCACGGGAUUUCCGCACGACCAGCUGAUGGACACGACCGCCCCCGUGAGCCGGGCGGAGGGCAGCCGCCCGGGUCUCGCAGCUACGUGCCCGCGGAACCCUCGGGACUGCGAGAAGCCCGAGCGACCCGCAGUCACGCGGCGCUCGGCGCGGACAUCUGGUCGGCCCGCGCGCCACGGGACCCGGGGGCCGAUUCCGGGCCGGGCCGCUGGUCGACCCGGCAGGGCGGCGGCCCCGGGGGCCUCGCCGCUGCUCGUCCGCAGGCUCCAGGGAGCCCUCGGGGCUCCGAGAAGCCCGAGCGCCCCGUGGCCCCGCGACCCCGCGGCGCUCGGCGCGGACAUCUGGUCGACCCGCGUGCCACCAGACCCGGGGGCCGGGUCGCCGGUCGACCCGGCAGGGCGGCGGCCCCGGCGGCCUCGCCGCUGCUCGUCCGCCGGGUCGCCGGAGCCCUCGAGCCUCCGAGAAGGCCGAGCGCCCCGCGGUCCCGCGCCGCUCGGCGCUCGGCGCGGACAUCUGGUCGACCCGCGCGCCACGGGACCCGGGGGCCGAGUCCGGGCCGGGCCGCUGGUCGACCCGGCAGGGCGGCGGCCCCGGGGGCCUCGCGGCCGCUCGUCCGCAGCCUCCAGGGAGCCCCGAGGGGCUCCGAGAAGCCCGUGCGCCCCGCGGCCCGCGGCGCUCGGCGCGAACAUCUGGUCGACCCGCGCGCCCCGGGCCGGGGACCAAGUCCAGGCGGGACAGCUGGUCGACCCGGCAGGGCGGCGGCCCCCGGGGAGUCGCGCGCGCGAGUCCGCGGGGUCUCUGGAGCCGACGGAGGCCAGGGAGCCCACCCAGACCGCCGAGAGCCCCGCGGCCCCGCGGCGCUCGGCGCGGACAUCUGGUCGACCCGCGCGCCCCGGGCCGGGGACCAAGUCCAGGCGGGACAGCUGGUCGACCCGGCAGGGCGGCGGCCCCCGGGGAGUCGCGCGCGCGAGUCCGCGGGGUCUCUGGAGCCGACGGAGGCCAGGGAGCCCACCCAGACCGCCGAGAGCCCCGCGGCCCCGCGGCGCUCGGCGCGGACAUCUGGUCGGCCCGCGCGCCCCGGGCCGGGGACCAAGUCCGGGCGGGACAGCUGGUCGACCCGGCAGGGCGGCGGCCCCGGGGAGUCGCGCGCGCGAGUCCGCGGGGUCUCUGGAGCCGACGGAGGCCAGGGAGCCCACCCAGACCGCCGAGAGCCCCGCGGCCCCGCGGCGCUCGGCGCGGACAUCUGGUCGACCCGCGCGCCCCGGGCCGGGGACCAAGUCCGGGCGGGACAGCUGGCCGACCCCUCCGCCCGGCCCGGCCUCCCGCCGCCGCACCUUCCCUCUCUCGCCCCACCCACGCGUCCGCGGCGGGUCGAACCACGCGGCGGGAUGCUGGUCGACCCGCACCGCGGACGGAGAGAGAGGGAGGCGCGGGGCGGGGAAGCGCAAGGGCCACGCACCGGCCGGCACGCCGACCCCGCCGGCACG